UGGUGCCGUAACUUCGGGAGAAGGCACGCUGAUAUGUAGGUGAAGCGACUUGCUCGUGGAGCUGAAAUCAGUCGAAGAUACCAGCUGGCUGCAACUGUUUAUUAAAAACACAGCACUGUGCAAACACGAAAGUGGACGUAUACGGUGUGACGCCUGCCCGGUGCCGGAAGGUUAAUUGAUGGGGUUAGCGGUAACGCGAAGCUCUUGAUCGAAGCCCCGGUAAACGGCGGCCGUAACUAUAACGGUCCUAAGGUAGCGAAAUUCCUUGUCGGGUAAGUUCCGACCUGCACGAAUGGCGUAAUGAUGGCCAGGCUGUCUCCACCCGAGACUCAGUGAAAUUGAACUCGCUGUGAAGAUGCAGUGUACCCGCGGCAAGACGGAAAGACCCCGUGAACCUUUACUAUAGCUUGACACUGAACAUUGAGCCUUGAUGUGUAGGAUAGGUGGGAGGCUUUGAAGUGUGGACGCCAGUCUGCAUGGAGCCGACCUUGAAAUACCACCCUUUAAUGUUUGAUGUUCUAACGUUGGCCCGUAAUCCGGGUUGCGGACAGUGUCUGGUGGGUAGUUUGACUGGGGCGGUCUCCUCCUAAAGAGUAACGGAGGAGCACGAAGGUUGGCUAAUCCUGGUCGGACAUCAGGAGGUUAGUGCAAUGGCAUAAGCCAGCUUGACUGCGAGCGUGACGGCGCGAGCAGGUGCGAAAGCAGGUCAUAGUGAUCCGGUGGUUCUGAAUGGAAGGGCCAUCGCUCAACGGAUAAAAGGUACUCCGGGGAUAACAGGCUGAUACCGCCCAAGAGUUCAUAUCGACGGCGGUGUUUGGCACCUCGAUGUCGGCUCAUCACAUCCUGGGGCUGAAGUAGGUCCCAAGGGUAUGGCUGUUCGCCAUUUAAAGUGGUACGCGAGCUGGGUUUAGAACGUCGUGAGACAGUUCGGUCCCUAUCUGCCGUGGGCGCUGGAGAACUGAGGGGGGCUGCUCCUAGUACGAGAGGACCGGAGUGGACGCAUCACUGGUGUUCGGGUUGUCAUGCCAAUGGCACUGCCCGGUAGCUAAAUGCGGAAGAGAUAAGUGCUGAAAGCAUCUAAGCACGAAACUUGCCCCGAGAUGAGUUCUCCCUGAGACUUUAAGUCUCCUGAAGGAACGUUGAAGACGACGACGUUGAUAGGCCGGGUGUGUAAGCGCAGCGAUGCGUUGAGCUAACCGGUACUAAUGAACCGUGAGGCUUAACCUUACAACGCCGAAGGUGUUU
This 1245-nucleotide ribosomal RNA is filed under the name Escherichia coli. Its description in RNAcentral is "partial 23S ribosomal RNA". It matches the Rfam family "Bacterial large subunit ribosomal RNA", at positions 1723 to 2925 of the family's 2925-position model. Lineage: Bacteria; Pseudomonadati; Pseudomonadota; Gammaproteobacteria; Enterobacterales; Enterobacteriaceae. The record is from RNAcentral.